GAGGAGAAAUAAACGUUGUGUGGUUUUGUGGAAGUAGUGUUGCACAGCAUGCCAUUCUUUUAUUUUACUCAAAAACGGUGUCGUUACGGUUAAACCUCGUGAAAACCCCUCUUCUUGCUCGCACUUGACCUAGAAAACAAAAUCAAACUUCCUCCUGCUUCACAUUAUCGGCGAAAAUGGCUUCUCGAUGUCGAUCUCUGUCCAAACCAGCGUUCUCAAUCUUUAGAUCCGCAACGAACAAGCCCUCUCUCCGACCCAAAUCAGCUUCAUCGUUUCUCGGCGUCCCUCCUCCUUCGCCUGGACUCGCAAGGCCGAUUGCUCAGCUGGGGUCGCUUCAGUCGCUGCUUCCGUUGUACAGCGCGGUGGCGUCAGCUAGGCUGACAUCGUGCCUGGGGAUCGAUUCGAUGAAUUCAAGGUCGUUGUCUCAGGGUAUGAUCUGCGGUUCGAACCCAGGAGUUUGAUUAUUCUCCCUAAUCUUUUAGCUUGGCUUAAGCGUGCCUCGAUAAGAAGAGAUCAGACUUGAAGAAAAUGGAUUCAUUUAAGAUGGAAUUCUCCCUAGUUUUUUUUGUUGCUUUGCUGGUCUAAUUCUGUCACUCAGAUCAGUUUCUAUUUGUCAGUGUGAUGAACACUCUCUUUUCGUUUCAUCCAGUUAAGUUGAGAAAUAUGUACUCUUCAAAACAUCAAGAUUAAACAAUCAUAGUCUUGUAUUCUUCGUCUUCCUGAACUACUAAGCCAUUUUUUUGGAAUUCGAUUAUUGAUUUAAGCGUUUUCAUUCAAAAGAGUAGUUAUUCAAAAUUUUCAAUCAUUUUCAAGAUGAGAAAGUGCAUGUGCACACAUAUCUCUUGUAUUAUUCUAAAGGUGAACCAUAACCAAAUUGGUUCCGAAUAGUUGGUUUCAAAUUUUGUUACCUUAACCAAAUAUAAAACCGAAACCGAAAAAUAAUCGAACAAAAAUUUUUAAAUACCCAAACCAAAUUUAUAUUCUAGAAUCGAAAAACCAAAAACUAAAAUAAACCGAACCAAUACCGGAAAUGCCAGGUAAGUGUGUGACAAAUGACAUGAGAUGCCCAACAUCCUCUAAACAAACACCUUGCCGUUUCUUACUACACAAAAACAACGUGACGUCUACUACCUUCUCAAACCAUCCUCUUCUUCUCAGACUCAAAACUAACUCGCAACCUCUCCACGAUCCCUUCGAAACUCGCAAGCACAAAAAAAUGGAGAAGAAGCGUGAAGGAGGAGGAGGAGCAGUCGAAAGAACGAGCCAGAUCGUAUCAGAUCCCUACUACUUCCUCCACUUCAUGGCCUUCUUCUCCUACCUCCCGAUCCGCGCCUCCGCCGCACCCUACACCUCUCACCGCCUCUUCGACAGAGAACUCCAAGCCUUUCUAGCCUUCCUCAUGUUCUCAGCUAUAAAGAUGGUUAGGGAGGAGACGUGGGAGGCUUUCGUUGCUGAUAGCUUUCUCUACGCUAAGAUCUUUCUUAUUGGUGUUUCUUUGGUUAUGGAUUAUCGAGUUGCGAUCUGGUUCUGUGUCAUUUUCUCAGUUGUGUAUCUUUUAGCUCAACAGCCAGCGUUUAGUAAGUUAGGAACUGCGAAGAAGCUGACACCUAUGCAGUUGGAGGAUUUGCUAUCAGAUGGGACCACAACUAAGUACUGGUUGAUAGAAUUCUAUGCAUGUAGUUCAUCAAAGUGUGUUCGUUCAAGCCGCUGCUUUCCCGAGCUCUCCAUCACGUACUCGAAUAGUCUUUUGUCUUUUGGAACCAUAGACCUUGGACUUUUCCCUAAUGCUGCAUCAAAGUUCGGAAUAUCUCUUGCCGGUGGAAUGUCUCAGCUUCCAACAUACAUAUUAUAUGAAAAGGGUGUAGAAGUUCAUCGGUUCCCAGACUUUUAUGUUGACGCUGCACCGUCUUUACCCGUAACCAAGAAACUUCUGUGUCAACAUUUUGAGCUCGAUAGGCUUCUGCUUGACUACAUCAACGGAUCAUAGCCAGAAAAUACGACGAUAUGUAGAUGGCUUCUCGUGAGAAGAGCAGUAUGAACACAUGAGCCCGCCAUGGGGACUAUGAGAGGCAAACAUUUUGGUCUCUCGCAUUCUUAUAAUGGGCAUUUUUUAGUGAGGCUGGCCUGAGGAAACGAUAGAUACUGUUUGUGUGUUAUAGAGAGAUAAGAAGAUUAUGCUAAAAUUCUUGAAUUUGAUUGAUGCUAAUGAAAACUUCUGAGUUUCUAGUA
Brassica rapa (field mustard) is the source of this 2229-nucleotide RNA transcript. RefSeq lists it as uncharacterized. NCBI's taxonomy places the organism in Eukaryota, Viridiplantae, Streptophyta, Magnoliopsida, Brassicales, Brassicaceae. The record is from RefSeq and is a predicted model, not a curated record.